GAUGAACGCUGGCGGCGUGCCUAAUACAUGCAAGUCGAGCGAACGGACGAGAAGCUUGCUUUUCUGAUGUUAGCGGCGGACGGGUGAGUAACACGUGGAUAACCUACCUAUAAGACUGGGAUAACUUCGGGAAACCGGAGCUAAUACCGGAUAAUAUUUUGAACCGCAUGGUUCAAAAGUGAAAGACGGUCUUGCUGUCACUUAUAGAUGGAUCCGCGCUGCAUUAGCUAGUUGGUAAGGUAACGGCUUACCAAGGCAACGAUGCAUAGCCGACCUGAGAGGGUGAUCGGCCACACUGGAACUGAGACACGGUCCAGACUCCUACGGGAGGCAGCAGUAGGGAAUCUUCCGCAAUGGGCGAAAGCCUGACGGAGCAACGCCGCGUGAGUGAUGAAGGUCUUCGGAUCUUAAAACUCUGUUAUUAGGGAAGAACAUAUGUGUAAGUAACUGUGCACAUCUUGACGGUACCUAAUCAGAAAGCCACGGCUAACUCCGUG
RNAcentral lists this ribosomal RNA (497 nucleotides) under uncultured bacterium. RNAcentral's name for it is "partial 16S ribosomal RNA". It matches the Rfam family "Bacterial small subunit ribosomal RNA", at positions 28 to 507 of the family's 1533-position model. The record is from RNAcentral.